This 300-nucleotide ribosomal RNA is filed under the name Triticum aestivum (bread wheat). RNAcentral describes it as "partial small subunit ribosomal RNA". The record is from RNAcentral. Lineage: Eukaryota; Viridiplantae; Streptophyta; Magnoliopsida; Poales; Poaceae.
AUGUCACUUGAGGUACCUAGGUCUUGUCAGUACAAAUAUCCAUCAACUCCCAACAGAAAUAGGAAAGUUUCUAUUUUUGCAAGUGUUGGAUGUAAGAUACAAUUCUGGCCCAAAAGAAUUACCAUCCACUGUUUGCAAGAUGAAAAGAUUGAUGUGUCUAGUCUUGAUGGUUAUCACAUGAGCCUGCCGAAUGGGCUGGGGAAUUUGACAUCCUUGGAAGUGUUAAAGAAGAUCUGUGCCACACUAAACAUUGUGAAAGAGCUGCACAAGCUAUCAAUGCUAAGGGAGCUCAAAAUUUAG